Molecule: ribosomal RNA, 1194 nt
Filed under: Tetramitus jugosus
Lineage: Eukaryota; Heterolobosea; Eutetramitea; Acrasida; Vahlkampfiidae
Description: bacterial SSU rRNA
Rfam family: Eukaryotic small subunit ribosomal RNA
Source: RNAcentral
GUCGACAACCUGGUUGAUCCUGCCAGUAGUCAUAUGCUUGUCUCAAAGAUUAAGCCAUGCAUGUGUAAGAUCGGCAUAGUUUUGGGAAGAGGUUCGCCUCAACCCUUAUUCAUUGUUAAUCUGUGAAAGGCUCAUUAAACAAGUUAUGAAUUUAGCCACCUGGUACAACCCUUCGGGGAUGGGAAUAACACUGUCAACUGCAGCGAUAAUGCCUACGAUUACUGUUGAAUUAAGUAGACAGUAGACACUAGAGUAAGGGUGAGUCCGCUCUAUUGUUAGCUGGGAGGAUCCAAGAUUCGUCGGAAGAUCUGAACAGUUGUCGACCAUUAGAUUUUCGCUUGCUUGCAAGCGAAUGCAGCGUGAAUGACUUAGCGUCCUAAUAAGACCUACGGCUUUCUUGUUGACUAGUGGCCAGGAAGAUAUGUUUCUAAUCUAUCAGCUCAGUAGUUUCGGUAAAGGCGAAACGAGGCUAUAACGGAUACGGGGGAUUGGUGUCCAACUCCGGAGAGAGAGCCUGAGAAACGGCUAUCACAUCUAAGGACGGCAGCAGGCGCGUAAAUUACCCAAUUCUAAUUCAGAGAGGUAGUGACAAGACAUAGCGACUUUACACCAAAUGGUGGAAAGGUACCACUUUGUGGUUUGAAAUGGAUGGAGAUUAAACCUCUCCAUGAGUAGCAAUUAGAGGACAAGUCUGGUGCCGGCACCCGCGGUAAUUCCAGCUCUAAAAGUGUAUAUUAAUACUGUUGUAGUUAAAACGCCCGUAGUAAACCAAAGGGUCAUAGUUAUUGAUCUGAUCAGUUCUGUUCAUCAUAGUCGGUCACGUAUUGUGGCUGAUUGGGUGGAUAAGGACAGGUCCUCGGUCUCUAACGGAAGCGAAAGGGUCCGCCCAAUUAGCAUCCGCCAUGGGAUAGGUCAAUGAUUAUGGCUCGUUCCCUAUCAGUCCGUAAGGUCUGAUAGGGCCAAUUGGCACAACCGUAAACAAAUCAGAGUGCUCCAAGCAGGCAAUGUACGGGGUAACCAUUUGCUUGAAUGAUUUAGCAUGGAAUUGUCACGAAGCCGAUCGGAAACUUCAAGGGAUUUCCUGAGAAGUGGAAGAUCCGGCGUUCGCAAUGAGACACUGAUAGAGGAUCCAAGUACUAUGGCGCGAGAGGUGAAAUUCAGUGACCGCUAUAUGACUAUCUAAUGCGAAAGCAG